This 513-nucleotide ribosomal RNA is filed under the name Triticum aestivum (bread wheat). RNAcentral describes it as "partial small subunit ribosomal RNA". Lineage: Eukaryota; Viridiplantae; Streptophyta; Magnoliopsida; Poales; Poaceae. The record is from RNAcentral.
AUGCUGCUCGUGCGCCUGAAGCUGCCGCGCGCGUGGACGGCGGAGGAGGACGCUCGCCUGGCGCGCCUCGCCAGGGAGAACGGCCUACGCAGCUGGCACCGGGUGGCGCGGCAGAUGCCCGGGCGCUCCUACGCGCUCUGCCGCGACAGGUGGCGCGACCACCUGGCGCGCGACGUCUACCACCGCGCCUUCACCGCCGGCGACGACGCCGAGCUCGCCCGCCUCCACCAGCGACACGGCGGCCGAUGGAGCAGCAUCAGCCGCGCCGUCUACGGGCGCACCUCGCGCGUCAUGAAGCGCCGCUGGAGGGAGCUCCGCAAGAACGGCGCCAAGAAGACGGCCUACUGUCCGCCGGCGCUGCCCACUGAAGACUUGGAGAUGGAGCUCUCGGAGCAGCGUCACCCACUUGCCGACGCGCUUGCCGCGGGUUUGAGUUGUUGCAGCCUUGGCUGCAGCCCGAUGGAUCCCUGGGCCGGCAGCCUCGCGUUAGGUUUCGCGUGCAUGGCCGUCUGA